AUUGAACGCUGGCGGCAGGCCUAACACAUGCAAGUCGAGCGGAUGAAGGGAGCUUGCUCCUGGAUUCAGCGGCGGACGGGUGAGUAAUGCCUAGGAAUCUGCCUGGUAGUGGGGGAUAACGUCCGGAAACGGGCGCUAAUACCGCAUACGUCCUGAGGGAGAAAGUGGGGGAUCUUCGGACCUCACGCUAUCAGAUGAGCCUAGGUCGGAUUAGCUAGUUGGUGGGGUAAAGGCCUACCAAGGCGACGAUCCGUAACUGGUCUGAGGGGAUGAUCAGUCACACUGGAACUGAGACACGGUCCAGACUCCUACGGGAGGCAGCAGUGGGGAAUAUUGGACAAUGGGCGAAAGCCUGGUCCAGCCAUGCCGCGUGUGUGAAGAAGGUCUUCGGAUUGUAAAGCACUUUAAGUUGGGAGGAAGGGCAGUAAGUUAAUACCUUGCUGUUUUGACGUUACCAACAGAAUAAGCACCGGCUAACUUCGUG
This 484-nucleotide ribosomal RNA is filed under the name uncultured bacterium. Its description in RNAcentral is "partial 16S ribosomal RNA". It matches the Rfam family "Bacterial small subunit ribosomal RNA", at positions 30 to 507 of the family's 1533-position model. The record is from RNAcentral.